CUUGCAUCAAAAUCUCAGUAGGUAAACAUUACAUAUUUUUCAAAUAUCCAAACGAAGAUAAAAUAAUAGUAAGUUGAAAAUAUUGUUGCAAUUCUAAAUCGUCACAAUCAUGUUUGAAUAACAAUUAUAGUGUUCAUAUUAUAUUCAGAUAUAUAGUGGAAGAAGUAUCAAAUUACUCUUAAAUAAGCAUGAUAAGUGCACACGGUUGCUAUUUUUCAUAUGUAAUUAAAUAAAUAUUUGUCUUUCUGAACUACAGUGUAUUAAUCAAAUUAGAUAUGUCUGAAAAUGGCAUUUCAAAAGUUUUCAUCACAUUUGUAUAUUCAAAGAUAAAUCUAUAAAUGAGAAAGGUCAAACGUUUCCGGAAGUGAUGCAUUUGGUGUUUGUGAUAAACGUAAACAGCAUGUUUAUAUCACAAAUAUGUCGGUGCACGCAUGUCUAGAAAUUAUUGCGGUGUUUUUAUUAUUGCAAAAAUGCGACAGGGUUAUAAUCGUGAUGAUGUAAACUCCCAUUUUGAAAUUUUUCAUAUGAAUUAAAGAGAAUUUUUCCAACAUCGCAAAUAAUAAAAAUCGCAUUUUAGUCCUCGAAAUAUCAAAUGCACGCAAUAAUAUCUGAAAUUUACAGCUUCCAUGAGUUUUCCCUGAGGUAAAAAUCUAAUUAGAGUAUUUGGUAAAAUAAACGUCCAUACAUUCAAGCCAUUCAAGAAAAACUUUUUAAUUAUACAGGCAUCAGUGUUGACUGACUUUGAUUACAAUUAAUUCACAAAAAGUAAUCGAACUAAUUGCAUAAAAAGUGUUCAAGAAAAUGGAAUUAAAGAGGUAUAAGCUAUGUCAGCUGAAUUUACUUUGUUUAAUCAUAUAUAUCAGAUACGAUACAAUGGCUCAUUUGAAGCGCCCUUUCUUUGUAGUAUCCAAUUUUCCUUAGUGUAGCUAAAGUGCUGAUUUUUUUUACUUUGUACACUUGUUUGCCAGUAUAAGUAAUACAUCAUCUCGGAACGAUUUACUGCUUGACACAUUGAAUAAACACUGGUCUAUCGUUAAACAGAAUGUGAUGCCAUUUUAAUUUUUGUUAAUAUUUGUGCCACUUGGAUGAAUAGUGUCGCAUUGUCAUACAUCCCACAUUUCUUUUUACUCAUAUGUAAUAAUUUAGAAUUUAAAAUGUCAGAUUAAUUGUAAUAAGCAUUGGAGCGUGUUUUUUAAAUAUGAAAUGCAAAACAAAGUCAUGCAUUUAAAUUAUUAGAUAUAUGUGUUUUAUAUACCCGUUACGGACAUGAUAACUUACUUAUUCUGUUAUUCACUUGUUUUUCAUGUUUCAGUUAUUGAAUGAAAUUAACAAAUUUUGAGAUUAUGUCGUCUUUAAAGUUAUUUAGCUAUAAUUGAAACAGUAACGAUUGUAAUAAAAAAGUAAUGCAUUUAAUUUGAAGUGUACUUAAUUGACCGUCUAUCAGGGGUUUGAGAAAUCAUAAAAGAUUUUUUGUCCGGAAAUAACGUUAUAUUUCAAAAAUGCCCGAAUGUAUAAAGUGAUGCUAUUUAGUUAAAAUAACAAGAUUGCCUUCUGUCAUAGUGAAAAUGACUUAGAUUACAGACCUGUUGUCUUUAUCAAUAGCGCAUAUAGUGCUAAAAGUUAUGUCGCAUUUUUACGAUAAAUUUUAUUAGACACGAUUGACCAAACGAUAUAAUCGAAUACUCUGCGAAUUAAUGAAAUCGAAAAACAAAAUAUUAAACUUAGUAAAGCCCGUGUAUGACCAAAUAUGACGCAAUGUAACAGAUUUGUGUACGUUAUGUUUUUAUUUUCAUUAAAUACUGUAAAAUAUAUUGUCAUUAACAGGAAUAUGGGAAGUCAACAAUCCCUGUGUGGUAUCUGCAAAAAUGAAAACGUAACAAAACAUGCAGUCAUCUGGUGUUCCGAAUGUCAUAUGGGGCUUUGUGAAGCUUGUACAAAACACCAUAAAGAUUCCGUGACAACGUGUAACCAUGAUACUAUGCAUAUCAAAGAAUAUAGGAAUUUGAACAUGUGUAAGUUACAUAAGGAACAAUAUCAUAAGUUCUGUACGAAACAUGAUUGU
This 2062-nucleotide long non-coding RNA is filed under the name Mytilus galloprovincialis (Mediterranean mussel). Lineage: Eukaryota; Metazoa; Mollusca; Bivalvia; Mytilida; Mytilidae. The record is from RNAcentral.